CAAGUCGAACGAUGAAGCCCUUCGGGGUGGAUUAGUGGCGAACGGGUGAGUAACACGUGGGCAAUCUGCCCUGCACUCUGGGACAAGCCCUGGAAACGGGGUCUAAUACCGGAUACUGAUCGCCUUGGGCAUCCUUGGUGAUCGAAAGCUCCGGCGGUGCAGGAUGAGCCCGCGGCCUAUCAGCUUGUUGGUGAGGUAAUGGCUCACCAAGGCGACGACGGGUAGCCGGCCUGAGAGGGCGACCGGCCACACUGGGACUGAGACACGGCCCAGACUCCUACGGGAGGCAGCAGUGGGGAAUAUUGCACAAUGGGCGAAAGCCUGAUGCAGCGACGCCGCGUGAGGGAUGACGGCCUUCGGGUUGUAAACCUCUUUCAGCA
Molecule: ribosomal RNA, 380 nt
Filed under: Streptomycetaceae bacterium ACTS92
Lineage: Bacteria; Bacillati; Actinomycetota; Actinomycetes; Kitasatosporales; Streptomycetaceae
Description: bacterial SSU rRNA
Rfam family: Bacterial small subunit ribosomal RNA
Source: RNAcentral